AUUGAACGCUGGCGGCAUGCCUUACACAUGCAAGUCGAACGGCAGCACGGGUGCUUGCACCUGGUGGCGAGUGGCGCACGGGUGAGUAAUACAUCGGAACGUACCUUAUCGUGGGGGAUAACGCCGCGAAAGUUGCGCUAAUACCGCAUACGCCCUGAGGGGGAAAGCGGGGGACCGUAAGGACUCGCGCGAUUAGAGCGGCCGAUGUCUGAUUCGCUUGUUGGUGAGGUAAACGCUAACCAAGGCGAUGAUCAGUAGCUGGUCUGAGAGGACGAUCAGCCACACUGAGACUGAGAAACGGCCCAACUCCCUACGGAAGGCAGAGGAGGGGAAUUUUGGACAUGGGGGGCAACCCUGCGCAAGCAAGGCCGCGGGAGUGAAGAAGGCCUUCGAGUUGUAAAGCCCUUUUGUAGGGAAAGAAACAGCAGCACUAAAACAGUCUGCGAAUGACGGUACCUGAAGAAUAAGCACCGGCUAACUACGUG
This 485-nucleotide ribosomal RNA is filed under the name uncultured bacterium. RNAcentral's name for it is "partial 16S ribosomal RNA". It matches the Rfam family "Bacterial small subunit ribosomal RNA", at positions 29 to 507 of the family's 1533-position model. The record is from RNAcentral.